This 2965-nucleotide long non-coding RNA is filed under the name Danio rerio (zebrafish). RNAcentral describes it as "lncRNA (ENSDARG00000117824.1)". Lineage: Eukaryota; Metazoa; Chordata; Actinopteri; Cypriniformes; Danionidae. The record is from RNAcentral.
GUCAGGUCUACUGUUAUAGAGCAUAACAUUAAACAUAUAACAUUUCAACAAUAUUUAUCGUAACAUUUGAGUGAAAUCGCAUUAUUUGUGAUGCCUUUAUACAGUAUUACCCUGCUGAUCUGUUUUCAGAUGAAACUAACUGUGGCCUAUUCUCAGUGCAGAGCACGAGGAGCUGCUCUCCCUCAGCGUCGACGCUGCAGCGCCCUCUGCUGUUUACAGGUGCACACACUAAUUGUGUUCAGGUGUGAACUAUCAGCGCCGCUGUGUGUGUGCGUGUGCGUGUGUGUUUACUGAGGCUGCUGUAAAACACUUCAUCAUCAUCAUCAGACACACACUCAUGAUCCAGAACAGGCUGAGACAGGCUGAGGCUGAUGGAUCCACAUGUACCUGUAGUGUUCCUGAAGAUGGUGCAGAUCAAACACCUGGAAAAGCAGCAGCACAGUGUUCUGGCAGCACCGGAGGGCAUGAGGGUGUCUCCGCAGCCCCCCGCGCCCCCACAGCGCCCCCUGCGCACACACUCCCGCUCCAGACCAGCCGGACAGCGCACACACAUACUCUCAGCAGCACUGUGGAGCCGCCCGGGGGCCGGUCACAGCGCACACACACACAAUCUGCUGAAGAUGGAAGUGAAGCCAUAGACAUCAAUGCCAAAGAGCUGUUGGAGGAGAAGCGACGCUACGAUCUCUCCUGCCCCCCUGUGGUGACCUACGGCACGUACCGAGGCCUGAGGGAAGCAAGAAAACCAAAGAAGAAGCAUAGCAUCGAGCUUCAUUCCCCCAUAUGUGAAGGAGACGAGCCUGCACACCCCGAGCAGACCUGCUGUUUCACUGUAAACACCAUGAGCACGGACCUGCAGGAGAGUCCCAGUGUGCUAAACCAGAGCUCUCCUCCAUGGACACAGCAGAUGGAGGACGUGUUGUUGACUCAGGGGGUUUUACUAGCCCAGGAUCCCACUGUUGAAUCUCCAGCACUCCCUCAUCCCACAUACUCAAACUGGUCCAUUACCUGUGUAGAGAUGGAACCAGUCUACACACUCCCUCAAGCAGAACCAAGACCACCCAAACACCUGGUGUACACCCAACAGGAGCAUCUUGAUCUGAACGCUGCGCCAGAGACCCAAUCAAACACACAAUCAGCCUCCAACACACACCGUCCACACACCGCUCACACUCCAGAACCCGAGCAGAACAGUGCGGAGGUGUGUGUAGUUGCAGACAGGACUGAUGAUCGGCAGGAGUCUGAUCCCGAGCCAGUGGAGCGGCAGGCUGGGGUGGAGGAACAGCUCCUGCGGGAGGAGUCUAGACUGAUGGUGGACGGCAUCUUGGCCAGCGCUCUCUCCGCUCUGCAGGAGAUGGAGGAUUCAGAGCGAGGUGUCCUGCUGACCGUCGAGCUUACCUCAGAGUCAGGUCUGAUGGAGGAUAACAGAGCUGCAGAUGCAGAGCUGCAGUGCGGCGUGGAUCCAUCCGGCCGGACUGCGUCUGAUGUACUGGAGCCACCAGCAGGUGCUCUGGGAGACUGCAGCCGCUCCCUGCCUUCCUCCGGGUACGAGUCCAUCGCCGGCUCCGACUCCGACAUCAGGGGUUUUGUGUGCGCAGCAUCUGAAGUGUGUUCUGCUCCUGCUGCGGUCAGCUCCCAGAGCCAGAAUCCGGCCCGUGUUGAUUAUUCCUGUGAAGGGAAGAGUGCGGAUCCUGCUGAGAUCAGAUCAGUCCACAGCCCUGCCUCAUCAGAGGAGUCUCUCUUUCAGGAGAAGCAUGCGGCUGAUGUUUGCGUGUGUACAGACAGCAGUGUGAAUACGUCUCAGGAUACAGCCACGGAGCAUGUGUUGAGCAAUAACUGUGGACACUCUCCGCACGGUGCUGCAAUAUCAGCGGAUCAGGAGCGUCUUCAGCAAAGCCAAUCUCUCAGUGACAGCGACAGCCACAGCUUCACCUCUGAUUCAGGUGUGGUGUCAGAACUCAGAGCACCAGCCGUACACAGCCAUGAAUCCAUGGAGCCUGAAGCCCCUUAUUCAGGUGAGCAGGAGCUCUGUUACUCUCAGGCCGCAGCAGAUCUGAGUGUCCUGCUUUCUGGCACUGAACCCCAGUGUUCUGCAGUCCAGCCCGGGUCUCCGCCAUGGGUCUCGGUGCGAGCGGUCUGCUACAGCAUCACCGAUGACCAGAGCCCGAGUCCAGAGGAGCAUCUAAACCCUGCAGAUGCAGGAAUGUGUGUUUCAGCUCUGGAUUCCCUGAACGCCUCUAUCAGAUCUGCUGCUGUUCCUCUGUUUCUGGAUCCAGACCUGCAGCCGGACGGAGGCUUCUCCAUCAUCAGUGAGGAGGACGAGGGUGAUGUGGUGUUCGUCAAUGACCUGGGGGCUCUGCACAGUCCUAGUGCACGCCGGGCUAAAGCGUACCCCUUCUGCCUGUCCCCCAUAUAUGAGGAGGAGUGUGUGCGCGAGGAGGCCCCGGGCCCCCAGGAGCCCCAGGAGGAGCAGAGGAGCGUGGAGCAGCCGGCCGCCGCCAUACUCUCCCUCCUGCAGUCCGUCAGCGAGAAACUGCAGUCCAGCAUGGACAGAGGAUCAGGGGAGACCUGGAGGAUGGAGCACUGCACACGGAGCCCACAGGACCACCAGGAGGACGUGCGGGUACUGCUAAACCAUCAUAUCCACCAGGAGGACACGGAAGCGCUACUGAGUCACCAGCUCUGCCAGGAGGACACAGGAGCACCACUGAUCCUCCAGGUCCUCCCCGAGCCCAUCGCUGACCCGUCUGAUGAUCACAGCACAGACAGAGAGCAGCAGGAGCCGGAUGCAGAUGUUGGAAAGAGUGCCAACACACCCUUCUAUCAGUACAUGAAAUCUGGACUGAUGCCGUCUGCUGAUGACCACACCACAGCCGCUGUUCAUCCCAGCAUAGCCAACACAGGGGUCACGGUGAGCAGGGUCAGAGCAUUAGUCUGGUUUGAGAUUGGCUUGUAUACGUGUAGAUGA